This 83-nucleotide small RNA is filed under the name Marmota monax (woodchuck). Lineage: Eukaryota; Metazoa; Chordata; Mammalia; Rodentia; Sciuridae. The record is from RNAcentral.
GCUGGGUGUGGUGGCGCACACCUGUAAUCCCAGCUGCUUGGGAGGCUGAGGCAGGAGGAUUGCCAGUUCAAGGCCAGCCUCAG